RNAcentral lists this ribosomal RNA (253 nucleotides) under uncultured bacterium. RNAcentral describes it as "partial 16S ribosomal RNA". It matches the Rfam family "Bacterial small subunit ribosomal RNA", at positions 524 to 776 of the family's 1533-position model. The record is from RNAcentral.
UACGUAGGGUGCGAGCGUUAAUCGGAAUUACUGGGCGUAAAGCGUGCGCAGGCGGUGAUGUAAGACAGGUGUGAAAUCCCCGGGCUUAACCUGGGAACUGCAUUUGUGACUGCAUCGCUGGAGUGCGGCAGAGGGGGAUGGAAUUCCGCGUGUAGCAGUGAAAUUCGUAGAUAUUGGGAAGAACACCGGUGGCGAAGGCGGCUAUCUGGACCGACAUUGACGCUGAGGCGCGAAAGCGUGGGGAGCAAACAGG